GCCGGGCACGGUGGCGCAUGCCUGUAGUCCCAGCUACUCGAGAGGCUGAGACAGGAGGAUCGCUUGAGUCCAGGAGUUCUGGGCUGUAGUGCGCUAUGCCGAUCGGGUGUCCGCACUAAGUUCGGCAUCAAUAUGGUGACCUCCCGGGAGCGGGGGACCACCAGGUUGCCUAAGGAGGGGUGAACCGGCCCAGGUCGGAAACGGAGCAGGUCAAUUACAGGCAUAAUAUUUGGCAUCCAGUUAGUCCAAUCCUCUUCCUACUCAUCUGCAUAUGUAGAGGACAGAGUCACCA
Mus musculus (house mouse) is the source of this 292-nucleotide non-coding RNA. The record is from Rfam. Lineage: Eukaryota; Metazoa; Chordata; Mammalia; Rodentia; Muridae.